GCUCGAGUGGCGAACGGGUGAGUAACACGUGAGUAACCUGCCCUUGACUUUGGGAUAACUUCAGGAAACUGGGGCUAAUACCGGAUAGGAGCUCCUGCUGCAUGGUGGGGGUUGGAAAGUUUCGGCGGUUGGGGAUGGACUCGCGGCUUAUCAGCUUGUUGGUGGGGUAGUGGCUUACCAAGGCUUUGACGGGUAGCCGGCCUGAGAGGGUGACCGGUCACAUUGGGACUGAGAUACGGCCCAG
Molecule: ribosomal RNA, 244 nt
Filed under: uncultured Actinomycetales bacterium
Lineage: Bacteria; Bacillati; Actinomycetota; Actinomycetes; Actinomycetales
Description: partial 16S ribosomal RNA
Rfam family: Bacterial small subunit ribosomal RNA
Source: RNAcentral